CAGUCGCCACGGGAAUACGGAGGGUGCAAGCGUUACUCGGAAUUACUGGGCGUAAAGCGCACGCAGGCGGUGGUUUAAGUCUGCUGUGAAAUCCCCGGGCUCAACCUGGGAAUGGCAGUGGAUACUGGCAGGCUAGAGUGUGUUAGAGGAUGGUGGAAUUCCCGGUGUAGCGGUGAAAUGCGUAGAGAUCGGGAGGAACAUCAGUGGCGAAGGCGGCCAUCUGGAACAACACUGACGCUGAGGCACGAAAGCGUGGGGAGCAAACAGGAUUAGAUACCCCCGUAGUCCCUGUCUAUUAUAA
This 301-nucleotide ribosomal RNA is filed under the name uncultured bacterium. RNAcentral describes it as "partial 16S ribosomal RNA". It matches the Rfam family "Bacterial small subunit ribosomal RNA", at positions 509 to 809 of the family's 1533-position model. The record is from RNAcentral.